RNAcentral lists this ribosomal RNA (274 nucleotides) under uncultured bacterium. RNAcentral's name for it is "partial 16S ribosomal RNA". It matches the Rfam family "Bacterial small subunit ribosomal RNA", at positions 523 to 796 of the family's 1533-position model. The record is from RNAcentral.
AUACGGAGGGUGCAAGCGUUAUCCGGAAUCAUUGGGUUUAAAGGGUCCGCAGGCGGAUUAAUAAGUCAGUGGUGAAAUCCUCUCGCUCAACGAGAGAACUGCCAUUGAAACUGUUAGUCUAGAAUUCGGUCGAAGUAGGCGGAAUGUGUCAUGUAGCGGUGAAAUGCAUAGAUAUGACACAGAACACCGAUAGCGAAGGCAGCUUACUAGACCUGGAUUGACGCUCAUGGACGAAAGCGUGGGGAGCAAACAGGAUUAGAAACCCCAGUAGUCC